AGUAGACAUUUUGUGAAUAAACUUCCACGAGGAUUAACAUAAAAAGUUCCCAUUGCAUAUUUGUGAAUACCAUACAAACGCGUACUAUUACAUUAACAUUCAACCGUGGAAUAUACAUCCGUAAUGCGCCUUAUACGUGUAUCAUACUGUCUAUUAGCAAGCACGUAUACGCAUAGAAUUUUCCGAGAGAGGUAGUAAAAAUGUAUGUUUAAUUCAUCCAUUUGUUUAAUAGAUCAACUUAUUAAACAAAGAUUUUUAUUUACGAAAAUUUUAAAUUCUCAAUUUUCUUGAAAUUGCAAACGAUGGAAGCGGUGUAACUCCCAAUAAUCUACCCUUCUUUAUGUGCUUGUGCAUAAGUAAAAA
Molecule: non-coding RNA, 363 nt
Organism: Cinara cedri
Lineage: Eukaryota; Metazoa; Arthropoda; Insecta; Hemiptera; Aphididae
Source: the annotation of a GenBank genome assembly